This 70-nucleotide microRNA precursor is filed under the name Pelobates cultripes (western spadefoot toad). Lineage: Eukaryota; Metazoa; Chordata; Amphibia; Anura; Pelobatidae. The record is from RNAcentral.
GUCCGGCCGGUUACAGGAAACAGAAACUCCGCGCGGAACAGGAGCUUCUGUUUCCUGUAACCGGCCGGAC